UAACAAGAUAGAUUCAAUUCUAAUUUUAAUUUCGACUUAAAAUAAGGUGAAAACCCUAGUUAA
This 63-nucleotide transfer RNA is filed under the name Nymphon australe. RNAcentral's name for it is "tRNA-Arg". The record is from RNAcentral. Lineage: Eukaryota; Metazoa; Arthropoda; Pycnogonida; Pantopoda; Nymphonidae.